This is a non-coding RNA of Cydia amplana, 72 nucleotides long. The record is from the annotation of a RefSeq genome assembly. NCBI's taxonomy places the organism in Eukaryota, Metazoa, Arthropoda, Insecta, Lepidoptera, Tortricidae.
GUCUCGGUAGCUCAGUUGGCAGAGCGCUGGGCUGGUAUCUCAAAGUCGCGAGUUCGAAUCUCGCCUGAGACA